This 1109-nucleotide long non-coding RNA is filed under the name Mus spicilegus (steppe mouse). Its description in RNAcentral is "lncRNA (ENSMSIG00000029451.1)". The record is from RNAcentral. Lineage: Eukaryota; Metazoa; Chordata; Mammalia; Rodentia; Muridae.
CGCCUGGCUCCAGGGAGGCUGCGGCACUGACUGGUGUGUGCCUGAAGCCCGCUUCUGCACAGGAAGUGACCGCGGGUGGUCCCAAGCCUGCCUCACUCUCUUUCCUGAAACAGAUGCUCUCCAGCAGAUUCCUCUCCGUUUCCUCCUCUAUAGGCGGAGGAGGAGCGAGAGAGUCGUCCUGUCUGCCCCUCUAUGCAGACGGUGAAGCAGAGCCCGAUGUGAAUAGACGGCUGCUGCCCGUAAGUGAAUUCUAUAUUCUAAAAGACGUCGGAAUGCUCCCCAGCCCCAAGAACAAUAAGCCACGGACGGGAAAUGAAAUAUGAAGCAAAGCCAAAACCCUUACUACAGCUUUGUUUUAUUAAGCUCUGUGCUCAUGAGAUACUGUCAGCCACGAUGAAAUGUGACUUUUCUAAACGUUAUCAUUUAAUGACGCAGAGGAUGCAAAAAUGAAACAAGCCACGCCCAGAUGCUGAUGGCAGAACAAGUGGAAGUGGGCAUUAUAGCUACAUUGACGUGAUGACAUUUCCAUACGCAGUGCCGAAAGCUGGCCAGCUCUCAGGGUUCUUUUUAGAGACUUUCAAGGCCAGCUCCUAUGACCACAGAAGUAGAUCACUUAUCUGUCUGUAGGUGAAACUGUCAUCCAAUAACAAUCCAAAACUUCAUCUGAACACACUGAUUUAGUUCUCAUUAUCAUUGACUAAAAACAGUAUGAGGAUGUUAAACAUUGAAGGAUAUAGAAUUAGGAGUCCCAAGAAAGCCUAGGCAGUCCGUAACAGUGUAGCAGUGAAAAUGAAACUCCCUGUGUAAGAACAAGGCCUUUCCACUCCAGACCACGGCACUCUGUCUGCACAGAGGCUCCAAGUGGAAAAGUACUGAACUUGCCCGCUUGAUAGUUCAUCUUCCAAACCACGGUCUAGAACCUGAUGGGGGCCGUUUAUGUGAGAGGCCACAGUGACUAACCCACGUCUGCGUGCCAUCAUAAGGAAUUCUUCUUUCCUCUUCUCCCAUCCAAACAACAGCGAAAAGAAAAUGGGAACAAGUUUCACAAAAAUGUUUGCAUAUUGCUAAAUGUUUUGCUUUAAGAAAUACUUGUCACACCAAAACCCAUG